RNAcentral lists this ribosomal RNA (484 nucleotides) under uncultured bacterium. RNAcentral's name for it is "partial 16S ribosomal RNA". It matches the Rfam family "Bacterial small subunit ribosomal RNA", at positions 28 to 523 of the family's 1533-position model. The record is from RNAcentral.
GACGAACGCUGGCGGCGUGCUUAACACAUGCAAGUCGAACGAUGAACCCGGAGCUUGCUCCGGUGGAUUAGUGGCGAACGGGUGAGUAACACGUGAGUAACCUGCCCUUGACUCUGGGAUAACUGCGGGAAACUGUAGCUAAUACCGGAUACGACCCUCGGCGGCAUCGCCAGGGGGUGGAAAGAAUUUCGGUCAAGGAUGGACUCGCGGCGUAUCAGCUAGUUGGUGAGGGAACGGCCCACCAAGGCGACGACGGGUAGCCGGCCUGAGUGGGUGAGCGGGCACGCUGGGCCUGGGAGACAGCCCAGACUCCUACGGGAGGCAGCGGUGGGGAAUAUUACACAAUGGGCGCAAGCCUGAGGCAGCAACGCCGCGUGAGGGAUGACGGCCUUCGGGUUGUAAACCUCUUUUAGUAGGGAAGAAGCGAAAGUGACGGUACCUGCAGAAAAAGCACCGGCUAACUACGUGCCAGCAGCCGCCGUAA